RNAcentral lists this ribosomal RNA (253 nucleotides) under uncultured bacterium. RNAcentral's name for it is "partial 16S ribosomal RNA". It matches the Rfam family "Bacterial small subunit ribosomal RNA", at positions 524 to 776 of the family's 1533-position model. The record is from RNAcentral.
CACGUAGGGGACGAGCGUUGUCCGGAUUCAUUGGGCGUAAAGCGCGCGUAGGCGGCUCGGAAAGUCGGUCGUGAAAUGCCGGGGCUCAACCCCGGGACUGCGUCCGAUACUCCCGAGCUGGAGGCAGGUAGGGGAGAUCGGAAUUCCUGGUGUAGCGGUGAAAUGCGCAGAGAUCGGGAGGAAGGCCGGUGGCGAAGGCGGCGCUCUGGAACAUUUCUGACGCUGAGGCUCGAAAGCGUGGGGAGCAAACGGG